Molecule: unclassified non-coding RNA, 293 nt
Filed under: uncultured Ascomycota
Lineage: Eukaryota; Fungi; Ascomycota
Description: sequence contains ITS1
Rfam family: 5.8S ribosomal RNA (bases 1-105)
Source: RNAcentral
GAAAUGCGAUAAGUAAUGUGAAUUGCAGAAUUCAGUGAAUCAUCGAAUCUUUGAACGCACAUUGCGCCCCCUGGUAUUCCGGGGGGCAUGCCUGUCCGAGCGUCAUUACAACCCUCAAGCCCAGCUUGGUGUUGGGCCCCGCCGCCUGGCGGGCCCUAAAGUCAGUGGCGGUGCCGUCCGGCUCCGAGCGUAGUAACUCUUCUCGCUCUGGAGGCCCGGGCGCGUGCCCGCCAGCAACCCCCCAUUUUUUUCAGGUUGACCUCGGAUCAGGUAGGGGUACCCGCUGAACUUAA